ACUCAAAUGAAUUGACGGGGGCCCGCACAAGCAGCGGAGCGUGUGGUUUAAUUCGAGGCUACGCGAAGAACCUUACCCAGGUUUGACAUGUGAGUAGUAGUGAAGCGAAAGCGGAACGAUCCUUCGGGAAGCUUACACAGGUGAUGCAUGGCUGUCGUCAGCUCGUGCCGUGAGGUGUUUGGUUAAGUCCAGUAACGAGCGCAACCCCUAGGGCCAGUUACAAGUGUCUGGCGCGACUGCCGGUCUUAAGCCGGAGGAAGGUGGGGAUGACGUCAAGUCAGCAUGUCCUUUAUAUCUGGGGCUACACACACGCUACAAUGGGCGGUACAAUGGGUCGCCAACCCGCGAGGGGGAGCCAAUCCUAAAAAACCGUCCUCAGUUCAGAUCGCAGGCUGCAACUCGCCUGCGUGAAGUCGGAGUUGCUAGUAAAUGCAGGACAGCUAUACUGCAUUGAAUACGUUCCCGGGCCUUGUACACACCGCCCGU
This 486-nucleotide ribosomal RNA is filed under the name uncultured bacterium. RNAcentral describes it as "partial 16S ribosomal RNA". It matches the Rfam family "Bacterial small subunit ribosomal RNA", at positions 899 to 1397 of the family's 1533-position model. The record is from RNAcentral.